Molecule: transfer RNA, 67 nt
Filed under: Bannacoris arboreus
Lineage: Eukaryota; Metazoa; Arthropoda; Insecta; Hemiptera; Urostylididae
Description: tRNA-Phe
Source: RNAcentral
AUUUAAGUAGCUUAAAUUUAAAGCUUAACUUUGAAGCAGUUAAAAUAAGAAAAUUUCUUCUUAAAUA